CCUACGGGUGGCAGCAGUCGAGAAUCAUUCACAAUGGGGGAAACCCUGAUGGUGCGACGCCGCGUGGGGGAAUGAAGGUCUUCGGAUUGUAAACCUCUGUUAUGUGGGAGCAAAUCAAAAUGAUUGUACCCCAAGAGGAAGAGACUGCUAACUCUGUGUCAGCAGCCGCGGUAAUACAGAGGUCUCAAGCGUUGUUCGGAAUCACUGGGCGUAAAGCGUGCGUAGGCUGUUGCGUAAGUGGGGUGUGAAAGGCGCGGGCUCAACCCGCGGACGGCACAUGAUACUGCGGGACUAGAGUGAGGGAGGGGGAAGCGGAAUUCGCGGUGUAGCAGUGAAAUGCGUAGAUAUCGAGAAGAACACUCGUGGCGAAGGCAGGUUACUGGACAUUAACUGACGCUGAGGCACGAAGGCCAGGGGAGCGAAAGGUAUUAGAUACCCGUGUAGUC
This 446-nucleotide ribosomal RNA is filed under the name uncultured bacterium. RNAcentral's name for it is "partial 16S ribosomal RNA". It matches the Rfam family "Bacterial small subunit ribosomal RNA", at positions 338 to 795 of the family's 1533-position model. The record is from RNAcentral.